Molecule: long non-coding RNA, 188 nt
Organism: Lontra canadensis (Northern American river otter)
Lineage: Eukaryota; Metazoa; Chordata; Mammalia; Carnivora; Mustelidae
Exons: 3
Source: RefSeq, a predicted model, not a curated record
CUCAACCUCUCCGGCCUCAGUUUCCUCAUCUGUAAGGAAACGUCAUGUACUGUACUUUACAGCAUCGUUAUAUGAAGAAGCCGCCAAAAGAAGUCCUCCAAUGUAUACAAGCCAAAGACCGGCAAAAUAUAGGUCUGCUGUCCCCUGAGGAGCUGCACUGACUCACACCCCAGAGACUGCACCACAGC